RNAcentral lists this ribosomal RNA (274 nucleotides) under uncultured bacterium. RNAcentral describes it as "partial 16S ribosomal RNA". It matches the Rfam family "Bacterial small subunit ribosomal RNA", at positions 523 to 796 of the family's 1533-position model. The record is from RNAcentral.
AUACAGAGGGUGCGAGCGUUAAUCGGAAUUACUGGGCGUAAAGCGCGCGUAGGCGGCUUGGUCAGUCGGAUGUGAAAGCCCCGGGCUCAACCUGGGAAUGGCAUUCGAUACUGCCAGGCUUGAGUAUGGGAGAGGGAAGUGGAAUUUCCGGUGUAGCGGUGAAAUGCGUAGAUAUCGGAAGGAACACCAGUGGCGAAGGCGACUUCCUGGCCCAAUACUGACGCUGAGGUGCGAAAGCGUGGGGAGCGAACAGGAUUAGAAACCCUAGUAGUCC